UACGGAGGGUGCAAGCGUUAGUCGGAAUUACUGGGCGUAAAGGGUGCGUAGGCGGGGAUGUAAGUCAGAUGUGAAAAACUGGAGCUUAACUUCAGCCCUGCAUCUGAAACUGCGUUUCUAGAGGAAAGGCGGAGAAAACGGAAUUCCACGUGUAGCGGUGAAAUGCGUAGAUAUGUGGAAGAACACCUGUGGCGAAAGCGGUUUUCUAGCUUCCUCCUGACGCUGAGGCACGAAAGCAAGGGGAUCAAACAGG
RNAcentral lists this ribosomal RNA (253 nucleotides) under uncultured bacterium. Its description in RNAcentral is "partial 16S ribosomal RNA". It matches the Rfam family "Bacterial small subunit ribosomal RNA", at positions 524 to 776 of the family's 1533-position model. The record is from RNAcentral.